UAUAAGACAGUGCGAAAGGUAGCCAAAAGAUCUGCAUCUGUCAAAGGAUGAAGUGCCAGGAAAUCUUGACAUUUUGUUAGGUACAAUAAAGGAUUUGUAGUAAGCUGAUCCAAACUUCCCUGGAGGGUUUGCUGGAUUGAUUUGAGAUCAUGGUGGACAUCUCUCCGGAGUUUUUCCACUUUGUCAACAACUGCUGAGGGUGGUGAUUUGAUUCACAUGCUGGGAUGAUGAAGUUUUCAGCUUUUGAGGGUUGGAAGGUUCCCAGGCAGAUCAUGCUGUUCCAUUGUAGAAGGUGAUGAAACAUCUGCAGACGUGCACAGUUGCAUGCUAACAUGUUCCUGGGACAAAGAAAGAGGUUGCAUUAGAAUAUGGCCUCCCAGAGCAGUAGGAAGUGUCUGUACUGGAGUUGCAUGGCUUGGGAAACUAUGGACCGGUGAAAUAUUAUGCAUAAUUUGGUCAUGAGGUGGAAGUCCAGAAAGUGUUUGAGUUUGCACUGGAGGUGACCACACUGGCGUGGAAAUUGUUGGGGCAUCAGGUGCAUCAAUAUCAACAUAUGUUGACGUUGAAUGGGAAAAGAACUGGGCCAUGACUUGUGUUGGUUGUGGGUGUGAUUAGGAUUUGUGUGUGUUUGGGACAGCAGAAAAAAAAUAAAUAAAUAAAUAAAAAAACCAAUAAAACAAAAAAUACUCACAAAGAAACUGUUCUCUGCAAUCAAUUACAUCAUGUCCAUACUAUCAAUGUAAGAGAAACCUUUCAAAUGCAUGUACAAAAAUACAAGACAGAUGACGAUCACAUUUUCUAGUUCAAGUUCCCACACACUUUGAUACAAAAAAUAAAUUCAGCUUACACUGGUUGCUCAAGCAAAUUUUCACAAUAAACUCAAAUCAUUAUACCAAAAACCACAUACAUGACAAGUUUUUUUUUUUUUUUUUUUUUUUUUACACAAUUUCAGUUAUUUGAUGAUUUUUGUCAAUAGUUCUCACAUUCAGCAAGAAAAAAAACAAUUUUAAACUAUUAAACAUUCACAAACAAAACCCUGUCCAGUAAUUCAGGUCAGUCAGUCAGUCAAAGAAAUUUUCAGUUAUUCAAGUCAAUCAAUGAAAGUUUCAAUUAUUCAAGUCCCUUAAAGUGUUCAAUGUCCCUUAAAGUGUUCAUGUCCCUUAAAGUGUUCAAUGUCCCUUAAAGUGUUCAUGUCCCUGUUCGGGUGCCAUUUCUGUAACGGUGGUCACACACACACAAAAAAAAAAUUUUUAAUUAAUAACUCUUAGGUUAGAUUCGAACCCGGGUCUCCCGCAUGGCAGGCGAGAUUUCUACCACUGAACCACGGAAGGCGCUGUUGAGGCGGUGCGUCUGGUAAUAUCUCCCUCUAACGCAGUCACCCUCGGGCAAAAAAA
Molecule: non-coding RNA, 1394 nt
Organism: Danio rerio (zebrafish)
Lineage: Eukaryota; Metazoa; Chordata; Actinopteri; Cypriniformes; Danionidae
Source: RefSeq, a predicted model, not a curated record